AAAGUUGGUGGGAGGAUGAUAUAGUCAUAUAUUUCUGUGGGUAAUAAGCCUGGUGGAAAUUGUUAGCAUUUUUGGUAUUCAAGAUACAGUGUGUAGAUUCUCAGGUAAUUGAGAUAAUAUGAUUUAUCUUGAAUGAUUAUUUUAAAAAGGCAAACUAUGAACAAAGAGUACGUGUUCUGAACUAAGGUUUAUCGCUAAUACUGAUCUAUCCUACUGAUGUUCAUAUGAAUAAAAUAGGACCUAGUUUCUUCCUUCUAAGUCACAUGGAGACUUAUGCAUGUGAAAAUGGUGUUUCAGUUCUGGGUUUCAGUUGGAGAGUUUAAUACUUCAUAUAUAUAUACACAUAUAUAUAUAUAAUUUUAUUAUAGUUUAUAUUCACAGUAUAUGUUUUAUUACAUAUUUGAUAUUUAUACAAUAUAUUUUAUAUCUUACUAUAAGUGAUAUAUUUUUUUAGGAAAAUAAAUCGAUGGUCAGAUUAUUCCAUCACAAACUAAAUAUAUAAAUGAAAGGCUUUGUAAAGGCAUAGAGUAAGAUAAAGCUAGGAUUAUUUGUGAGAAUGUGCCAUAACACUAGUUUUAAAAAGCUAUCCAAUUCUGCACAAAAUUCAUGAAAAUAAUUAGUAGGCCAUUAACUUAAGAGCAGAGAAUAUACAACUAUGCACCUGUGAUAUCUAAAACCUCUGUUCUUGACUUGGGUGUUGGAUUCAGUGAUGCUUAUUACUACAUAGCUUAAAAUAAAAAUCAAAUAAGUUGAUAAAUAAAAAGGAUUGCAGCUUUUCUACCAAUUAUGAGAAUGUGAUAUGAUUCAAGUUUAUGAUUAAUCUGGCAGUGCAAAGCUCACAUCCCUUUAAAAACAUCUACUGUAGACUGUGUGGAAUUGGCUUUUCCUCUACUGCAUGAACAUACCACAGCCAACUCAAG
This 920-nucleotide long non-coding RNA is filed under the name Bos taurus (domestic cattle). RNAcentral describes it as "Meg8-IT1". The record is from RNAcentral. Lineage: Eukaryota; Metazoa; Chordata; Mammalia; Artiodactyla; Bovidae.